RNAcentral lists this ribosomal RNA (1661 nucleotides) under Lactobacillus sp. N54.MGS-719. RNAcentral describes it as "bacterial LSU rRNA". It matches the Rfam family "Bacterial large subunit ribosomal RNA", at positions 1256 to 2925 of the family's 2925-position model. Lineage: Bacteria; Bacillati; Bacillota; Bacilli; Lactobacillales; Lactobacillaceae. The record is from RNAcentral.
GCUAAUCGAGAGGAUAGUUGGAGCGCUUAGAAGUGAGAAUGCCGGUAUGAGUAGCGAAAGAUAGGUGAGAAUCCUAUCCGCCGAAAGACUAAGGUUUCCUGGGGCAGGCUCGUCCGCCCAGGGUAAGUCGGGACCUAAGGCAAGGCCGAGAGGCGUAGUCGAUGGAUAACAGGUAGAGAUUCCUGUACUGUGUUCAAUCGUUAUGAGCAAUGGAGGGACGCAGGAGGCGAAACACGCAUCGAGCUGGAUCGAUGUUCAAGCAGCGAGUGCGGUUAAGAGUCAAAUGCUUCUAACCAGCAACAUGAGCUGUGAUGAGUAGCGAAGUAAAAGUAGCGAAGGUGAUGUAGUCACACUGCCAAGAAAAGCUUCUAGCCAGAGAGAACAUACCCGUACCGCAAACCGACACAGGUAGUCGAGUGGAGAACACUAAGGUGAGCGAGAGAACUCUCGUUAAGGAACUCGGCAAAAUGACCCCGUAACUUCGGAAGAAGGGGUGCUGGCCAUGAGAGUGGUUAGCCGCAGUGAAUAGGCCCAAACAACUGUUUAUCAAAAACACAGGUCUCUGCAAAAUCGUAAGAUGACGUAUAGAGGCUGACACCUGCCCGGUGCUGGAAGGUUAAGAGGAGAGCUUAGCGCAAGCGAAGGUUUGAAUUGAAGCCCCAGUAAACGGCGGCCGUAACUAUAACGGUCCUAAGGUAGCGAAAUUCCUUGUCGGGUAAGUUCCGACCUGCACGAAAGGUGUAAUGAUUUGGGCACUGUCUCAACGAGAGACUCGGUGAAAUUAUAAUACCCGUGAAGAUGCGGGUUACCCGCGACAGGACGGAAAGACCCCAUGGAGCUUCACUGUAGCUUGAUAUUGAGUAUCUUUUAAACAUGUACAGGAUAGGUAGGAGCCAAGGAAUGCAGGACGCUAGUCUUGCAGGAGGCAAUGUUGGGAUACUACCCUUGUUUGAAGGAUGCUCUAACCUCGACCUGUAAGCCAGGCCAGGGACAGUGUCAGGUGGGCAGUUUGACUGGGGCGGUCGCCUCCUAAAGUGUAACGGAGGCGCCCAAAGGUUCCCUCAGAAUGGUUGGAAAUCAUUCGCAGAGUGUAAAGGUAUAAGGGAGCUUGACUGCGAGAGAGACAACUCGAGCAGGGACGAAAGUCGGGCUUAGUGAUCUGGUGGUACCGUAUGGAAGGGCCAUCACUCAACGGAUAAAAGCUACCCUGGGGAUAACAGGCUUAUCUCCCCCAAGAGUUCACAUCGACGGGGAGGUUUGGCACCUCGAUGUCGGCUCGUCGCAUCCUGGGGCUGAAGUCGGUCCCAAGGGUUGGGCUGUUCGCCCAUUAAAGCGGCACGCGAGCUGGGUUCAGAACGUCGUGAGACAGUUCGGUCCCUAUCCGUCGUGGGCGUAGGAAAUUUGAGAGGAGCUGUCCUUAGUACGAGAGGACCGGGAUGGACGCACCGCUGGUGUACCAGUUGUUCCGCCAGGAGCAUCGCUGGGUAGCUAUGUGCGGAAGGGAUAAGCGCUGAAAGCAUCUAAGUGCGAAGCCCCCCUCAAGAUGAGAUUUCCUUUGCGUAAGCAGUAAGACACCUCAGAGACGAUGAGGUAGAUAGGCUGGGAGUGGAAGUUCUGUGAAGAAUGGAGCGGACCAGUACUAAUCAGUCGAGGACUUGACC